Molecule: non-coding RNA, 861 nt
Filed under: Pseudocordylus langi
Lineage: Eukaryota; Metazoa; Chordata; Lepidosauria; Squamata; Cordylidae
Description: partial 12S ribosomal RNA
Rfam family: Bacterial small subunit ribosomal RNA
Source: RNAcentral
CCAAAAACACAAUAUUUUGGUCCUAAACUUGCCGCUAUUUUUUACUAAAUUUAUACAUGCAAGCAUCUACACGCCAGUGAGAAUGCCCAUCUACAAGACAAAUGGAGCUGGUAUCAGGCACAACAUUUAGCCAAUGACACCUUGCUAUGCCACACCCCCACGGGUUUACAGCAGUAAUCAAUAUUAAACAUGAGCGAAAGCUCGAUUUAGUUAUAGUGAAUACAGGGCCGGUAAAUUUCGUGCCAGCCACCGCGGUUAUACGAAAGACCCAAAAUAACGGCCUAACGGCGUAAAGCGUGGUUAGAAAAACCAAAACUUAAGGAUGUACAUCUUCUCCGCUGUAAAACGCCCAAGAGGACAAGAAAAUUAAUUCCUUAAACCAUUUAACCCCACGAAAGCUGGGGCACAAACUGGGAUUAGAUACCCCACUAUGCCCAGCCAUAAACCUAGAUAGCAAAAUACCACCUAUCCGCCAGAGAACUACAAGCAAAAUACUUAAAACUCAAAGGACUUGGCGGCAUUCCAUAUCAACCUAGAGGAGCCCGUCCAAUAAUCGAUAAUACACGCUCAACCCAACCACUUUUGGCCACUCCAGCCUAUAUACCGCCGUCGCCAGCUAACCUUGUGAAAGAAAAAGAGUAAGCACAAUAGCCCUCGCUAAAACGUCAGGUCAAGGUGUAGCUAAUAAAAUGGGUGCGAUAGGCUACAUUUUCUAUUUUAGAAAACACGGAAAUUACAAUGAAACUUGUAAUAGAAGGCGAAUUUAGAAGUAAAAUAAGAAAUGACUCUUACUUUAACACUGCCCUGGAAUGCGCACACACCGCCCGUCACCCUCCUCGAAAUUAAACCAGAUGAGGUAAG